This 588-nucleotide ribosomal RNA is filed under the name uncultured Helotiales. RNAcentral's name for it is "eukaryotic LSU rRNA". The stretch from base 228 to 381 matches the Rfam family "5.8S ribosomal RNA". The record is from RNAcentral. Lineage: Eukaryota; Fungi; Ascomycota; Leotiomycetes; Helotiales.
CUUGGUCAUUUAGAGGAAGUAAAAGUCGUAACAAGGUUUCCGUAGGUGAACCUGCGGAAGGAUCAUUACAGAGUUCCUGCCCUCGCGGGUAGAAACCCCACCCUUGCGUAUUAUAUCUUUGUUGCUUUGGCAGGCCGCCUUCGGGCACCGGCACACGCUGGAUCGCGCCUGCCAGAGGACCCCAAAUUCUGAAUGUUAGUGCCGUCUGAGUACUAUAUAAUAGUUAAAACUUUCAACAACGGAUCUCUUGGUUCUGGCAUCGAUGAAGAACGCAGCGAAAUGCGAUAAGUAAUGUGAAUUGCAGAAUUUAGUGAAUCAUCGAAUCUUUGAACGCACAUUGCGCCCCUUGGUAUUCCGAGGGGCAUGCCUGUUCGAGCGUCAUUUCAACCCUCAAGCUCUGCUUGGUCUUGGGCCCUGCCGGCAACGGCUGGCCUCAAAAGUAGUGGCGGUGCCAUCGUGCUCUCAGCGUAGUAAUUCUUCUCGCUGUUGGGUCCCGGUGGACGCUGGCCAGCAACCCCCCAUUUCUAAUGUUGACCUCGGAUCAGGUAGGGAUACCCGCUGAACUUAAGCAUAUCAAUAAGCGGAGGA